This 497-nucleotide ribosomal RNA is filed under the name uncultured bacterium. RNAcentral describes it as "partial 16S ribosomal RNA". It matches the Rfam family "Bacterial small subunit ribosomal RNA", at positions 28 to 507 of the family's 1533-position model. The record is from RNAcentral.
GAUGAACGCUGGCGGCGUGCCUAAUACAUGCAAGUCGAGCGAACAGAUGAGGAGCUUGCUCCUCUGACGUUAGCGGCGGACGGGUGAGUAACACGUGGAUAACCUACCUAUAAGACUGGGAUAACUUCGGGAAACCGGAGCUAAUACCGGAUAAUAUAUUGAACCGCAUGGUUCAAUAGUGAAAGACGGUUUUGCUGUCACUUAUAGAUGGAUCCGCGCCGCAUUAGCUAGUUGGUAAGGUAACGGCUUACCAAGGCGACGAUGCGUAGCCGACCUGAGAGGGUGAUCCGCCAAAACUGAACUGGGACAAGGUCCAGACUCCUACGGGAGGCAGCAGUAGGGAAUCUUCCGCAAUGGGCGAAAGCCUGACGGAGCAACGCCGCGUGAGUGAUGAAGGUCUUCGGAUCGUAAAACUCUGUUAUUAGGGAAGAAAAAAUGUGUAAGUAACUAUGCACGUCUUGACGGUACCUAAUCAGAAAGCCACGGCUAACUACGUG